This is a non-coding RNA of Mesocricetus auratus (golden hamster), 257 nucleotides long. NCBI's taxonomy places the organism in Eukaryota, Metazoa, Chordata, Mammalia, Rodentia, Cricetidae. The record is from Rfam.
GCCGGGCGGUGGUGGCGCACGCCUUUAAUCCCAGCACUCGGGAGGCAGAGGCAGGCGGAUCUCUGUGAGUUCGAGGCCAGCCUGGUCUACAGAGUGAGUUCCAGGACAGCCUCCAAAACAAUACAGAGAACUUGUCCCUGUCUUUUUUUUUUUUUGGUUUUUCGAGACAGGGUUUCUCUGUAGCUUUGGAGGCUGUCCUGGAACUAGCCCUUGUAGACCAGGCUGGCCUCGAACUCACAGAGAUCCACCUGCCUCUG